This 73-nucleotide transfer RNA is filed under the name Candidatus Bathyarchaeota archaeon. RNAcentral's name for it is "tRNA-Asn". It matches the Rfam family "tRNA". Rfam says of the family: Transfer RNA (tRNA) molecules are approximately 80 nucleotides in length. Their secondary structure includes four short double-helical elements and three loops (D, anti-codon, and T loops). Lineage: Archaea; Thermoproteati; Candidatus Bathyarchaeota. RNAcentral also lists the same sequence under 4 other names. The record is from RNAcentral.
GCCGGCGUAGCUCAGCUGGUGGAGCGCCGGGCUGUUAACCCGGGGGUCGGUGGUUCGAAUCCACCCGCCGGCG